AUUGAACGCUGGCGGCAUGCCUAACACAUGCAAGUCGAGCGGAUGAAGGGAGCUUGCUCCUGGAUUCAGCGGCGGACGGGUGAGUAAUGCCUAGGAAUCUGCCUGGUAGUGGGGGAUAACGUCCGGAAACGGGCGCUAAUACCGCAUACGUCCUGAGGGAGAAAGUGGGGGAUCUUCGGACCUCACGCUAUCAGAUGAGCCUAGGUCGGAUUAGCUAGUUGGUGGGGUAAAGGCCUACCAAGGCGACGAUCCGUAACUGGUCUGAGAGGAUGAUCAGUCACACUGGAACUGAGACACGGUCCAGACUCCUACGGGAGGCAGCAGUGGGGAAUAUUGGACAAUGGGCGAAAGCCUGCUCCAGCCAUGCCGCGUGUGUGAAGAAGGUCUUCGGAUUGUAAAGCACUUUAAGUUGGGAGGAAGGGCAGUAAGUUAAUACCUUGCUGUUUUGACGUUACCAACAGAAUAAGCACCGGCUAACUUCGUG
Molecule: ribosomal RNA, 484 nt
Filed under: uncultured bacterium
Lineage: Bacteria
Description: partial 16S ribosomal RNA
Rfam family: Bacterial small subunit ribosomal RNA
Source: RNAcentral